Molecule: ribosomal RNA, 1369 nt
Filed under: uncultured bacterium
Lineage: Bacteria
Description: bacterial SSU rRNA
Rfam family: Bacterial small subunit ribosomal RNA
Source: RNAcentral
CCCGAUGAACGCUGACGGCGUGGAUAAGGCAUGCAAGUCAAACGGCUCUUCAAGAUAAGCUUGCUUAUUUUGAAGAGCAGUGGCAAACGGGUUAGUAACACGUGGGUAAUCAACCCUAUUCACGGGCAUAACUGGUCGAAAGGCCGGAUAAUUCCCGAUGGUCCCGGUAUUUCAUAUGAAACUCCGGGUAAAGGGUAUACGUAAGUAUACCGGAAUGGGAUGAGCCCGCGGUCUAUCAGCUAGUUGGUAAGGUAAUGGCUUACCAAGGCUAUGACGGAUAGGCGGGGUUAGCGCCUGAUCGCCAACAAGGGCACUGAGACACGGGCCCUACUCCUACGGGAGGCUGCAGUCGAGAAUAUUGGACAAUGGGGGAAACCCUGAUCCUGCGACGCCGCGUGAUUGAAGAAGCCCUUCGGGGUGUAAAAAUCUUUUCUAGGGGAAGAACCCUUCGGGGUGACGGUACCUUAGGAAUAAGAGGGUGCUAAUUCUGUGCCAGCAGCAGCGGUAAUACAGAACCCUCAAGCGUUAUCCGGAUUUAUUGGGCGUAAAGAGUUCGUAGGCGGUCUGGAAAGUCUUUGGUUAAAUACUCAGGGCUUAACCUUGAGACAACUAAAGAUACUACCAAACUAGAGGACGUUAGGGGUUGACGGAACGGUCAGUGUAGGGGUAAAAUCCGUUGAUAUUGACCGGAACACCGAAAGCGAAGGCAGUCAACUGGGACGAUCCUGACGCUGAGGAACGAAAGCGUGGGGAGAGAACGAGAUUAGAUACCUCGGUAUUCCACGCUGUAAACGAUGGAUACUAGCUAUUUGAAGUGUCGACCCUUCAAGUGGCGAAGCUAACGCGUUAAGUAUCCCGCCUGGGAAGUACGGCCGCAAGGCUAAAACUCAAAGGAAUAGACGGGGGCUCACACAAGCGGUGGAUCAUGUGGCUUAAUUCGAUGAUAAGCGAGAAACCUUACCAGGGCUUGACAUUCAUUUGUAAUCCUUCUGAAAAGAAGGACCUCCUUCACGGGACAAAUGGACAGGUGCUGCAUGGUUGUCGUCAGCAUGUGCCGUGAGGUGCACGCUUAAAUGCGGUAACAUGCGCAACCCUCACUCUAUGUUUCAAGUGUCAUAGAGGACUGCCCGAGACAAUUGGGAGGAAGGCGAGGAUGACGCCAAAUCAGCAUGGCCCUUUGACGCCCUGGGCUGCACACAUGAUACAAUGGUUGGGACAAUGGGUUGCGAUCCCGUAAGGGGGAGCUAAUCCCACCAAACCCGAUCUCAGUUCGGAUUGAGGUCUGCAACUCGACCUCAUGAAGUUGGAAUCGCUAGUAAUCGCUAAUCAUCACGUAGCGAUGAUACGUUCCUGAGCGUUGCACACACCG